GGGGUUGUGGCUCAGUGGUAGAGCACUUUCCUAGCAUGUGUGAGCACUGGGUUCGAUUCUCAGCACCACA
RNAcentral lists this transfer RNA (70 nucleotides) under Marmota monax (woodchuck). RNAcentral's name for it is "tRNA.Ala". The record is from RNAcentral. Lineage: Eukaryota; Metazoa; Chordata; Mammalia; Rodentia; Sciuridae.